GCAACUUAAGCAGAAUUAAACUAAUGUUUACAUUGAGAUUAUCAGUAUCAGCAGUCAACAUUUUGUGUACCCUGGGAAGCAUAUCCUUUUGGAGACACUUUUGUAUUUCCGAAAGUUCAGAAAAGCCAAUGACUUUGCCAGACUCUAUCAAACUAGUAUUUUGAAUAUCUUGCAUAGAAUCCUUGGUAACAUGAUCAGAAGUAGUCUCUGAGAAAUGGAACUGGUCCAAGAUGGAGCUUAUUAACCGCAAUAACACCUUUUG
This 262-nucleotide unclassified non-coding RNA is filed under the name Hevea brasiliensis (rubber tree). Lineage: Eukaryota; Viridiplantae; Streptophyta; Magnoliopsida; Malpighiales; Euphorbiaceae. The record is from RNAcentral.